UUUUAAACUACAACUCUGGCAUGCCACUACUUUUUCCAAAAUUUUGGAGAUAAAUGGAAGUUUAGAUAUGGGCCUGUAGUUUUUAGGUUCUGAAGGGUCAAGAUUGGGCUUUUUAAGGAUCGGGUUUACCACAGCGUGUUUGAAGUAGCUGGGGACUGAGCCAGAUG
Long non-coding RNA from Sander lucioperca (pikeperch), 167 nucleotides. RefSeq lists it as uncharacterized. The record is from RefSeq and is a predicted model, not a curated record. The transcript is spliced from 3 exons. Lineage: Eukaryota; Metazoa; Chordata; Actinopteri; Perciformes; Percidae.